This is a non-coding RNA of Anas platyrhynchos (mallard), 26070 nucleotides long. The record is from RefSeq and is a predicted model, not a curated record. NCBI's taxonomy places the organism in Eukaryota, Metazoa, Chordata, Aves, Anseriformes, Anatidae.
UUCCUCUUGUCCUUUCCUUUUUUUGUAAUCUGUUAAUAACUUAACAGUGAAUUAUGCAAAUUGCCUUAAUCAGAGGAAUAAGUUUGGAUUAUUAUUUCACUUUAUGUCAGUAUUCAUUAUGUGCUAGUAGAUUUCCAAAUACAAAAAGAUGGUAUCUUCUCCAGAAGGGCUAAACUACGAUGCCACAGCCAGAACUCCAUUACUUUGAGUGACGUUAUUAACACAGCGUAGCAGAAACAUUGUCAUAUAUUUCCUUUCAGCUGUGAGUAACUCUUAAACUAAAUCCACUGGGCAGGAACUUGACGUAGCUUUUUUAAAAAAAUUCAGCAGGAAGCAUUCUUUUUUUUUAGGUAUGAACUUAGUGGAAAAUAGUGGAAAAUGGGCAAUGGUUUUUGCACAUUUUAACAUUCCUAUGUUUAUUUGCUUUGAACUAGCAUACUCUUGUAGAUAUAUUUUGGACAUUAUUGAUUUGUCUUUUCAAUGUUGCUGUGAAUGUCUGAAUUAAAAAAGUUAUGUACUUUGGGAAACUGUGGCUUUUCUCUUUGUGGGUAAGUUGUAGCAGUGAUGAUGAAGGGUUGCUGCAUGCUGUGGCUGAUUUUUUUAAAUUUUUAUUUGAAUAUCCCUAUUGGCUCUGUGGCAGGCUCCAUUAAUAGGUCCACUCCUGUGUUUGAAAGUAGGCAUCCACUUAAGUACCUUGUUUGGUAAGGACUUCUGUGGUAAGUGGCGGAAUGGCUUUGGGGAGCGCUGGAUCUGAGCUCUUCCCCUUGCCCGUGAGUCCUCACAGCCCGAUGUGCUGCGGUGGCUGCAGUGUAUUUAUGUGCCUAGAUUAGCAGUGUCCUCUCCUGGACUGGGCACUUACACAAGGAGGAAACUGAAGCGCUGGAGGAUGUUUACAGAGAGGGCAGUGGGCAUUGCUGUUAAUAUUUUAGAGAGCCUUUUAAGGGCUGUUAUAUUAUUAAUCUGAUAUCUUAAUAGCAUGCAAAAUGCAUAAAAGUUGUGCCUACAAGAAACAUUCCCAAAGUACCUUAAUCCUUAUAUCGAUAACACUACUAUUGGGUUACACGCUUUUAAUCCCAGAGGAGUUGUCGCCUGACAUUAAACUGUCCAAAUAGUAUUUAUAUCUGCUGCUGCCCUGCAAGAUCACUUAACCCUGCACAGCAGUUUAAAAGUAGUUAAUGACAGACCCGGCAUGACUUGCCCCUUAUGAAUGAUCACAUAAGUUCGACCUGUGCUGUCAUGGUUUAUGGAGGAAGGCAGUUUGUCCAUAGCCUGCUUCAGCCACAGCAGGUAAUUUGAAAUGAAAUGAGACAGUUUCUACAAGCAGAUUGAUUUGGGAAUCUUGCCUGUUCUUCCCUUUGACCCUUGACAAGUUGACACUACAAAGAUUGUGACUUUAAAAAAUGAUUGGGUGCAAAUACAUUUAGGUAGAUGAUUUACUAUGUGUUAAAGCAAGGACAGUGCAUUUAGAAUGGAGCUGUGAGGGAAGGUAAUUGUGAACUUUAACAACUCAUGUUUUAUGUUUCUGUAUCUUAUUAAUUAUCUGACUGGGCGAAUCUUCUGGCAACAGUGGACCAAGUACUUUAUGAGAUAAAGUCUGUGCGAGUCCACAGAUUCUGCAUAUCAGCAUUCAGAAUUUUACCUAUACAGAAAUAACUGUGUCUGACUGAGAAAUUCGAUAGGAAUACUUUAUUUGAUUGGACAGUAAGGGUUAAGUCUGAAGCAGGACUUCUGAAUGUAUAGGUUUCCCAAUCCAAAGAUGUCUUUAUUUUAUUAUCCUUUUGCAAAUGCAGUCAUGCAAAUAAAAAUAUUGAAAUAGUAAGAUUCAACAUAUGAUAGAUAACUGGCAAAUAGUGAAAUAAUGAAAUGAUGCCAGAAAGAGAGAGAAAAUCACAAUUAUGUGUCUAUAAAUAUUUUGGUCUUCCAAAGGCUACACCCUCUUGGUUAAAAAGAAUUAUGUGCAUUUUACAAGAUACUGUAUGAAGAUUUUGAGUGCCUUUCUGAUUUAUGUAAUUGAAUUUUUCCCCAAACCAUUUUGUGAUUAGUUAUGUCAUUUUAAAACGAAUUAGCUAAGAUGUAUUGCUUCUGAAGAAUGAUGCAGGUUGGUAUGUAAAGCACAUAUACAAAUACUGCUGGAGAACGUAUAGUAUGAAUUUCACGAUAACUUUAAUUUGAACAUUUAAUUAAGUCACAGUCCUAGAAAGCAAAAACUUAUCUCUGUUAAACCACCUACCUCUAAAUGUGCUAUGAGUGUGCAGUUUUAAAUGCAUAAGACAAAGUAAAUGUUUGCACAGUCAAAGUUCAUCUUUUUGCAGGUCUUUCUCCUGGUGUCUGUUUGAAAUGCUUUGCGUGAAGCAUAAUUUUGAAGAUGCUUGUAAAAAAAAAAAUUACAAAUUAUUUAAUACCCUUUUGACUGUCUUCACUGAACUAUGUUAAAAAUAUUUUGCUGAAAUGUUUCUUUAUGUUGUCCAUUGGGUUUAAUAGACAUGCCAUUUAAUAAGCUCUCUACCUGUAAGGAUAGACUAUUUGACCUUUGUGACCUGCCAGUGGUAGACAUAGUAUAAGAUUGCUUUGUGAAAUAAAGCUGUCGGUAACAUCAACAAAAUAAAAAAUGAUCGUAUUCCAAUACUCUCUGCUGAGUACUAUGACAGCACUGAAAUAUGGAAUAAAAUUGAAAGUAGAUUAGUUUUGGGUCCUAAGUCAUGUUUUGACAAGAUAUAAGAGAGGAGAACAUAUCUUUGAACUUUUAGUUUUAAAGUUUUUUAAUGAAAAUAUUUAUCAUUUUGUAAGGUUCCUUCUUUCUUUAUCACAACUGGGCUGUAUAACCUUAAAACAAUCCAUUCUCUUAUUGUGAGGGAUAUAAAUACUGUACUAUCUUUUAUAUUAAACAUCAUAAAGGAUACAUGCACAGUAUGAAAUUGCUUGACACUUGCAAGUAAAGGACUGUCAUGUUAAUAAAAAGCUUAUUGGAGAGGUUGAAAAAUCAGUCAUUAAUAAGCCACAUAUUUUUAAACUAUGUAAAGCAUGUAAAUACUGCAGACAAGAGGGCAGUUUUUGCCAUAUUUCCUCCUCUCUCUUUGAAAUGCUUAUGGUUGAAAGCAAUAGUGUAAAUAACAAUGAUCAUUGCCUGUUCUGUGGUUAUUGUAAACUUCAAAUGAUUUGAAAAGAAAUUCAUUAAUAUUUUAAGUUACGAUGAUUAAUCAAAUGAAAUUAAAGUUUUUUUUUUUUUUCUUUGGGGGGAUGAGUGGGGGAAGCGACACAACACUGACAUGAUUGAGCAUGCUAGCAUUUCUGUAACUUGCUUUCAGUCUCUUCUGAAAAAGACUACCUACCAAAAUAUAGACACAUAUUCCCAAGUCACCAAAAUCCACUUUGUAAAAAUAGCUACACAACAUGGAGAGUGGAGGAAAAACUAUGUUAAAAUGUUGUGAUAAUCUUUCUGGCUUCAUCUGCAUGUAUAAUAAAUACAAAGACAAUUGAUUUAAAUAUCUCUCUAUGGUUAACAUUGCUGGCUUUUUACUGGUUCAUUUUUUUUCAAAUUACUUUAAAAAGAAAUACAAAUGACAUAAGCUGUUGACUGUUUUUUCAAGCAAACAUUGGGAAUAAAAAGGUGACAAAUCCAAAAAGUGAAAAAAAUUAUUAUGAUUGCAGCAGGGAGUAAAUUAGUUGACAUAACUCUUAUAAAAUGCCUUUUAAUUCAGUUCUCCUCAUUUGGCUCUGCUGUUCUUUUAAGUGCUCAAUUGCUAGUUAUUGCAAAUACUUUUUUUUUUUUUUUUUUUUCUGGAAUAUUUACAAGUUAGCACACAUGUUUUUAUAGUAGUUAUUUUUGAAGAUGUAGAAAUGAAAUAUGUUUCAUGUAUGAAGUCACAACAUUUCUACCAAGGUAUUGGUCUGUCUUUAAUUUCAGCAAAUCAGGAGAUUCUCUAAACACUGUAGGAAAUGCAAGUAUUUUUUUUUACACUGCCCCAUAAACAAAAAUAUUCAUAGAAAAUCAGGGAGCAGUGUAGGGAGAUUGUCUUUACAAUGCAUUUAAGAGGACUUACGGAUUUUUAGCAGAGUUUAAUCAUGCUCUAAGACUCAAAAGUUUACUAAAAUAAUUUGAUCAGGUAUCAAAGGAAUAUUUUUAGGACCAUAUUCAAAUUAUACCUUGAGAAGACUGAAAUGAAGAAAACUAGAGAAACUUACAGGAAAAUCAGCUUGGUCUGUAUUGGACUGUAUUGUUAUUUGUUCCACUGCUUUACGUUUGCCCUUUCUAAUGCUGUGAAAGCAAAGUAAAUGGAUUAUCCUUUGGCCCUACAGAUGGUUUGAGAUGAUCUGUUGCUGAGAUCACUGGUGGGAGCAGUGUUGUUUUACUCUUUGAAUUAGGUUAAUCUCCAUUACUAUUAAUUUCUGUGAUUGUAAAGAGUGCAUGUCCCUGGCAGCGUCAUCUUUGCCUGGGGAAUAUUUUGAAGUCUCAGCACUUCAGGAUCAUUUCGAUGCUGACUGCCAGCAUAGCUAUUUAGAAAACGAGGCUGUGGAGGAGAAUGUGGGCAUUUCAGCCCGCCAGCCGGGAAUCUUCUUGUUCCACUGUGGUUUAAGGAAGAGUACUCUGCUGGAAACAUGAAGUGCCUGUUUACAGCUGGGAAUACCUCAGGAAAAGGGCAAACUAGUCCUGGCCCAGUGAAGUACUGAUUGUGUGCGCCAGCAAGGUAAACGUGGCUUGGUUUGUCAGCAGCAGUGUGCAGCCACGUUGUGAAUUCGUUUGAGCCAACUGAAGAGGUUCCUCUAAUCACCACCCAAAUUGUGAAUUAAUACGGAUUUUGUAGAAGCUUGUCCUGCUGAAGAUGAGCAGUUAGGUACUGAACAGCACCACGAGGAAAGCAGUCCAUCCCAUGGCCUGGUUGUAUUCCAUUUCUACUCCUUUGUUGAUUUACUUUACCAGUCAGGGAGUGGCAGCUGAUAACAGAAGACUAAAUCAGCUGCAUCAACCCUGUCACACGGUGAAAGGUGUGUGCUGCAGCCCCUACGAACCGGAGCCAGAGCAGAUGCUGCAGAGUCUAUCGCUGGCUGGCUGCCAUUCGCUGGAGGUUUUGAUUAAUAACUUCCAAGGAAGAAAAGAAAAGACUUUUACAAUGAUGGUUUGUCUUCAGUUAUUCUGGUGAAGGUGGAAUGAAAGUUUGGUUUUUCAUCUGACAGGAGACGUAAUGGUCCUCGUGAUGAAAGCAGUGACCUAAGAUUUUGGAGAUCUGUUGGAUACUUGAUUUUACCACACACUCCUUGAAUAAACCAGAAAAGUCCUUCUGUGAUUAAGCAAGUCACCCGCAGAGCAGGGAUGGCAAGGACAAUGUUCUUCUGUCUUCAGACAGGAUAGCCCCACUGUGAGGGUAGUUGGCACAAAUGGAGACGUGGUAGUGAUUUUGUGCCAAGUUUCGGUAUGGUGCUGGUCAAACUUUAUUGCAAAAAUCCCUGUGUUACAAGUUUCAAAAAGAUUAGCAAAGGCUCCAAUCUCUGGUGAAGAGGAAUCUGAAGAAACUCUUCUUUCACAUAAGAGACUUUAUUUGAAAACCAUAGGAAGUGGAUGCAUCAGAAGAUGUUUUGAGAUAAAGGUGACAUUGUUGAUUUUAAGUAUUUCACUAAGCAAGAGCUUCCUUGACCACACAAAAUGACAGAGAAGGUAAGAUUUUACUUAUAUAAGGGAGCCCCGAGAGGUGUCAGGACAGAAAACUAUUACAAAACCACAGUUUUCAUGUUUGACAGGGGUCAAGCAUUGUGCCCGCUGUAGAUGAGCCAUUUGGAGCCAGAUUGUCAAUCCAAAUGCAAGCUGCUCCGUUUCCUGUUUAUGCCUGUGCAGAGUUACACAUCCUGACUCGCUUGCCUUCAGCUGCAGGUUUUUCCGCACUCCCUAGGAGAUUUCUUCCUUAAAAUGGCUUGUUAUUUAUCAUUUAAGUAAGCCAUUGGAAUUUUGUUAAUUCCUGUUUUACUUAGCACAUGCAAAAUGAUAUCAUUAGCUAAAGGAAGAUAAUGUUAAGGUAGUAAGAGUUACUGAUACUGCUAAUUAAGUGACUGUUGCAAAACAAAAUCUGAUCAGACUCUGCAUGAAUGUAGAGAACUGAUGCCAAGUUUACUGCUUCACAGAGGCCUGGCCUAUUGUAUAUCUGACCUGAGGUUAUCAGCAAUUAAAACCUGGUCUAGUAAUUUAAAAAUAACCUUUUGGAUAUUACAAAUUUACAUUUUUCCAUCUGUCAUAAGAUGAAUUAAAUAUUCUUAGCUGAGGCGUUUGCCUGUUAUGUUUAUGAAGUUCCUCUAUGAACAAUUUGUUUUUGCUAUUCAGCAGUAUAGCUUCUAGUUGACUUCUUAAUUUCCUCCCCUCUCCCUCCACCACGUCCACUAAGGUGAACUGAAAAUCAAACAUACCUGGCAGAGUUCACUGUGCUUUGCUGUUUCCCCUAAAAUCAGAGCACAACGAGAAAUAGUUCUGAUAAUAGUUAGGUUAAUCCUGUCAGAGCCCUAUUUUGGAGUUCUGCAUUAUCUACUUCAUGCCUUUCUUUAAAAACUGAAGAUUUACUAAAUUUAAUAGGCUUUCUUACAGAUAGCAAGGAACUUCCAUUGUUUACCUACAUGCUUGGUUUAAAAGCUAAAGGUGAGUAGUUAGUGAGGAAGGAGAUUGCAAAUUUGGAGAUUGCUAUUUGAUAAAAUGACUGACAAUGAACUACAUAUUCCUCCCCCCCUACCUUUUUGUUGCUUUACUGUAAUUUGAUAUCAAGUCUUUAACACAUGCUGCACUGAUUUGUAAGAGCACUGGGUUGAAGCUGGAAGGGAUUUUAUUAAUCCAGCAGUAGGUUUUCCCUUAAAAUAACUGAUGCAUGAUAUGAGCAGAGUAAGAGUAUAAUAAAAACUUAGAGUAUGUUGAACCUGCAUAACUGGAAGGGAAGGAAAAAAGAAAAAGAGACCAUUCUGUAGCUUUUCUGCAAAUCUAACAGAAUUAGGAAGAGUCAUAUUUUCAUCAUGCUCAGGUUUCAACAUGAUCAGGGGUCAACUGGCCUAGCUUUAAAGUUUAUGGCCCUCUUGCCAUUGACACUAGCAAAGAAUAUAUUGUGUCAGGUACUGACAGAGAUCUUAACAGAAAUAUCUAAGCACUACUAAUGAAAACAAACAAGAUUUUGCUUUGAUCGCUUAAUCCUAGUUUGUGAAUAACCUCGGUAAUUCAAUAGAGCUCUUUUGCUUAUGAAUAUAGCUUGUAUUGCUUUGGUACCUAAAUACUUGCAAAGGAUUAAUGGGUUUUAAUUUAGCACUACCUCUAUAUGAUAGAAAAAUCUCACUUUUCCCGUUUUACAGGCUGAAACUGAGCAACUUUAUGUAGUAAUCUGUGUAGUUUAGUUUGGCUGCCUGAAACUCAUUUUAAGCCCUUUUUUCAGGCCCAACUCUGACGUGGGCUCAGGCACUCAUCCCUCAAACUUACAUACCCAAGUUUCACACCUCACACUGAUGUUCUAAACUUUGUUACUAUUCAAAGCUUCUUCCCUCCCCCUGCCAAAAAAUAAUUAAAUAAAUAAUAAAAAUCCCACCCCACAAACAAACUACCCCAAGCCACUAGUGAGCUGUGGAAAAGACAUUACAUAAAAUAUCAUUAAUAUACACAACUGAAUGAAUUCUUUUUCUCUCAAGGGAUGAUUAUAUUUAAUGAUCAUGUAGAGCUGGGGUUUGGAAAUUUGGUUUUAAUUCAUGUUAAACUAAUCAUUAAAUGUAAUCAAGUUUAUUUCCUAUGUUAUUUGAAGUCAAAAAGGUGGUCAGAGUCUCUUUCCAGACAUUCCCUGUUGUCUUGAUAAAUUUUGCUAAAUAACAGCUGAUGAGAGUAUUUAUAUCUUGAGUAAAGUGAGUAUUGUUCGAUUAUAAUUUUCUAUUUUUAUCAUCAUUUAUUGUUUGCUUCUUAAAUUAUAGUAGUACUUGAUGUAAAUUGCAGAAAAUACCAUUUUAAACCUUUUUUCCUCAAUUGUCUUUUCAGUACACAUAACAUCAUGAAAACACACUGCAAUACCCAGGUUAACUUUAGAAUGGUUAAGCAACAAUUCCCUUGAUGACUGUUCACAUUGUGAGAAGCACCAACACACAUGUUUUGUCUAUCAGGCCAAAAGAAUAUCCCAUUUAGGGCUUUUCCCCACAGUAAUCAAAGCUGAAGACAGCACAACAGCAUUCCCUUCAGAGGAUGCAGCAAAAAACCGAGCACGUAUGUUAAAGACUAAGGCCUGGUACCAGUUCCUUUUUGCACUAUAUGCUAGUGUGACUUCAGUUUCCUAUAGUGAAGACACCCAAGGUAAGAAGUACAAGACUGCAGAUUAAUGUAGCAAAAAAGCUGUGCUUCGCGUAAAGCUCCUUAGGUUCAGACUUGUUGCUGGUCAAAGCUGGCCUAUUGACCCCAGUUCACGCUAACUGGGUAAACCUGCAGGUCUCUGCUAAGGUAUGCUUGCAGCACAAAGGGUCUCAGGCUCUGAUUAAAUGCAGAACGCAUGUAAAUAGCCUUUCCAGGUGUUUUAUUUAAUGUAAUACCAACCUGAGCCUGAUGCCUUCCUUUACUUAGGAGGUGAAAGAGAUGGUAUGAAAUACUUGUAGCUUUGAAAAUUUUAAGACACAAGACUUGUUUUCCUCUUAUGAUUGCCACUUUUUAAAAAAAUAUAUAUUUGUAGCAAAACACCCUCUGACUCUGAGAAGCAUCAGAUGCCUUUUUCUGGAAAAAAAUGGCUGACAUAAAAGUAAGCCUAUGGAUUUGGCAAAGAUGGUAAACAUUGCAGUUAGUUUCACAAGAUUCUUUUCCAUUUGCAUUAUGCCUAUAGUUGAGAAAUAUAAAUAGUAGUCUCAUUGUUCUGCACCUUGGGAUGGCUUGCUGGAUGCCACUGAAGAUUUUGAUUAAAAAGAAAACAAAAUACCACAUAGCCGUAUUUUUAAUCAGACCCAAUUUUGCCAGGCUCUUUGUAGAAUUCUCACCUGCUUUGAUUAUUUGAUAAAAGCUAAUUUUGUUGCCUUUCUUUGUCUUUGUUUAGUUUAUUUUUUUUUCAAAAUUCUUAACCUUUCCAUACUUUCAGUGUAUUUUUAAAUUAUUGCAAAAAUUCCCCUUCCUUCUCCUGUAGCUAGCAGGAAGCCAGCAGGAUACCAAUACUGCUUACUCACGGAAAUUAAAAACAAAACAAUAGGUAAGAAAAAUAAAGAAAUAGAACAAACAAGAGACACUAUCUUUUCUGUUAAAGCUUAAAAUGCUGGGCAAUGCUGGUUUAAUAUACAGGAGCUUUAAGUAUUGAAGCUUACCCAGGAGCGUUUCUGCAGAACUUGGUUUCUGUUUGUUUCAGUGUCUGCUAUUAAAAGACAGUGUUGAGUUUCUAGCCCUAUUUGUGUGCCCAUAAAAUGGGUAAAAGAGCAGUAAGCUGGUAGCAGCAGCCCUGUAGCCCUGAAGCUAUAUUUAAGGUGUGAUAGUUUAUAGAGGCAGUUGUUUUGUUUAACUAUUUUUCUCAUAGGCCUGUAGGUGUUGACAUUUUUGGGACUCACCAGGCAGGCACAGCUGGUGUUGGGUUGUCUGGACAUGUGCUCAUUCGCCCUCUCGGUGUGCAAGGUCUCGUACUCUCCUGUCCUAUCCUGACUUACUCGAGCUAUUGUGCACUCCUGCUCCCACACAGAACUGCAGUGCAUGCCAGGGGAGCACUUUGCUUUGCGUGCAGAGUCCCACACAGGGGCACCAACAAUCCUUCAUUACCCAAGUAUGCUCUGAAGACCUGCUUGUGCUGUUGAAAAUGGCCUUAGUUAAAGAGGAAAAGGGGAGAGUAUGCUUUCAUCUUCUUUUCUCUUCCUGCUCAUGAUGCUGGUGAUACAAUUGUGUGACGAAGUUGCCUAUUUCUCCUUGAAUCUAAGUGUAGCUCCUUAGGGUAUCUAUUUUAAACAUUUGUUGGAUAAAAUUAUUUAAUUUACACUUACGUAACGUGUAACCAACCUCCCAUCCCCUUCAAAAGCCCUCAGUUCCAAGUUCUCUGUCUCAUAGUUUCACCAAAAUUGCAUAUAUUUUAUUUUUUUACAUCUUUAUUCUGAGCUCAUCAGCACCACGGACAUAUGGUCAGAGACUUGUAUCCAAUUUAACAUCUUCACUCCAGACUUUGGAAGAAAUAGACUUCUCCAUUUGCCACUGACACGUGUGUGAAGAACAGCUCAUAACAUGAUUGAACUCCAUUGAUUUUUCAUAAAAGUUUAAUAAGAUGAUACAGGUCAAAAGCUUUGCAAAAUUUGCAAUAAAUUCCUGUGGUGAUCUGAACAAAUCUUAGUGGGGAGAGCUGACACCAGAGGAAUUUAAAUACACGUUGAAUUACAUAGAGGACUUGAAUUUUUUGGCUAAUCAUUUGAACCUUGGAUUUCAGAUGAUAAAUUUUCUAACACUGCAUGGCUCUCCUUUUUUGUUCUGUUUUUCCUCAUGCACCUAAUUUUUGCAGGUGACUUGCACAACAUAAUGACUGUUUUAGUCCCUCGGCCCCUCCAGAUUUUGGUAAUGGAUCUCAGAGAAAUACUUGAAUCACUCCCCAGAAAAGGAAGCCUCAAUUUUACAGGUCGAGUGGUUUUGUCUUCAGCAAGACUCAUCCAAGGCAUGAGCUCGGAACUGGGGACGCGGCCUCCUAAUGGAGGCGCCGCUACCUCACGCCUGUCACGGUGGGGAGCUUCAGCCGAAUGCUUUAAAAUUUAAUCUUUUUGUGCCUCCUGUUGGAGAGGAGCAGUGCCCUUAGGAAAGAGGUUCUCCGUAGAUUGCCAGCAGAGGAGAGGCUGAUGGGUGGCAUGAUGCAUGCUGGCACCCAUGACACCAGCGUGCUGCAUCACCACUUGGGCAGCGGUCAGGCUGUGCCGCCUUCGCCCACAGCAUCUCGGCCAGCGCCUCUGUUGCCUGCUUGCAGUUGUUUCUCCUUCUUGAACAAAACAUUGCCAAGACGCUGUUGAUGCUGCUCAGCCAGAUUUCCUCAGGGCUCUGGCACACCAGGUACCUGUCAAUAAGCUGUAGCAGAAGUGAUUUAUGGAAGAUCUCACAGAUAAACUGAUAAAGAACGUGGCAGUCAUCGGUUUAUUACCAGGCCUGACCACACAGCCUGUGUGCUUGCCUAGAUGUGCUCUUCGAAGCAGGGUGUUUCCACAUCUGUUAAUCUUCAUGGAUGUUAUGUCCAGGCAAAGAAACCCGGCUUUCCUUUAACCUUGUGUCCGUGACAGACAACGGCUAUACAUUGGGCGGGACACAAUUCAUGAAAGAGCACAGAAGGUUUAUGUUUAAAAAAAAAAAAAAAAGGAAGAGAAGUUGUCAUUAAUUUUUAACUGCAAAAGUCUGCAGUUAGUUGAAAAGGAAACGCAAAAGAGCUGAUUAUUCUUGAGAUCAAAAUAUUGGAGCUGUUUUGUCAAGAAAGGCAAAUGCAGAGAAAAUAAAUUUACCACAGCCAUUUCCAGCUCCACAGCAUCCUGAAAAGGUGCCAACGGCACUGUCCAAGCUGGCACAAGCAUCAGGGGGAUAAGAGAGAGAGGGGAACGUGGCCUGUGUCUGCAGUAUGUCUCCAGUGCAUGGCUGACAGUCACACACAGACUUUCAAACUGUCUGCACAAUGUAUGGAACCUGCAUGGGAGGCUGGACUAAAACCUGUCAGCUCAGUGAAAAAGUGUUCUCAGGAGCAAAGGAAUGUUUAUCAAAGUCUUUGCUCCAUACAUCAUCAUUUAGCAUCUCUAAGAACUUUCAAGGACUGCUUUUUAAUUGUUUGGCUUUGCUACAGGUUUUGAUAGAUAAAGUGAAGGACUUCAGUGCUCUCUGAAGACUUAAGACAGUCUUCAAGACUUGAGUGCCGUCUGUCACAGCAAGUAAGAAAACACCUCCGUGAUGACCAGUCUGUCCCUAGAAGUGCCUAUAGUGGAGUCCAAUACGGGGGCCUACUCCUCUAAUCUCAGCUCUGGAGCUUCAGGAAGACUAAAAGCAAAAAGAUUUGCUAAUAUUUCUCUUACCCAACAGAAAUGGGUAAAAUGGGUAUGGAUUAUUGCCUAGUCAGGAGAGAGAGAGGAAAGCAACAGAGGUAUGUGAAGAGGUACGCAGCUGGGGAAGCACCACGGAGGACUGACUCAUGGAAAGAGAUUCUUUGUGAUUCUUUAAGGGAACCCUGCUGGACUGGUGUAAUAGAUCUGUCAAUCAUAAAACAUCUAGCUUGGACUUUUAGCAGAUCAAGUUAUGCAGUAUGCUAAAUAGUGAAUUAGCAGCUUCAAAGUAUGGAUUUUUUUAUCAUCAUGUUUAAAGAGAACUUCAUCUAAAAUCUUCCAAAACAGUUGUACAAUCCUGUGAAGAGAGACUGAUUGAAGGGAGCUUUGCGCCUACGCUGGGCAUAUUAGUCCAGAGGGACAUAAAGGGGCCUCCAUAGCAACAGGAGAAUUGGCAGCCAUACUUCGCGUAAUCACAUGCUGAAGCCCGGCUAAUGGCAGAAACCACUAGAGUGAGGAACCAUACAAGCCUGGAUAUGAGAGAACAAGUACUACACUGAACAGCAGAAUGAUGAUUGCUUGACCACGGGUGAUCCUUCUUUGUCAUACAGUCAUCUGCAGACUGCAGUUUGAAAGUAAAGCUGCUUCCUGAAAACCUUUUCAGCAGCAAAGCGGUAAGUCACUGAACUUGCAAGUUGGUCCCCGAGACAAGCAGAUUCUCUGAAGGCCUCAGCAAAUACAACUACAUCAGGAUACUAGAAACCUUCUCUGCAAGUGGGUAAGUCUAACAAAGAUGACAUUACCACAGAAAAUUCCUCAGGCAAAGCCCCUACAUGAUGCAUCAACACCUUUCAAUAAGGUACAGUUGAAAGAGCUACAAAAGGUUCAAGUAACAAAUUUCUUAAUUGAAAUUAAGUUAUGAUUUGCUUUAAAACACAACACUGUUGAGAUCUUGGUUAUCCCUCGUGUUCUUCUCUGCUGCUACUCUUAGAAUACAAAUCUAGGUGGAAAUAUAUAUUUGUGUGAUAACUGCCCGUCAAUCAGUAGUUUGAACAAUCUCAAAAAAGCUCAGAUGGUGGCACAUUUUUAGACUGCCUUUUUAAUCAGAAAGAUUUUGACCAAACUCAACAGACAGAAAAUUUGGCAAUGAGUGCUGUAGGUAUGAACAAAAUAAGCAGCUUGUCUGGGCAACUGAACCUACAAUUCAGGUGUUGUUUGUUGACUAUUGCCUGAAAAUGCAUGAACAGUGAGUGAUAAUCUGUACAGAGCUUUAGUAUGUACUCUGUGUGUGCUGGAUCUUGGAAGCUGGCCGUGUAUUGUUGGUGCAGAAGAUACAAAAGGAAAGUGCUCAAGCUGGAGGAAUUAAAUUUCUAUAAUUUAAAUUACAUGCCAUGUGGCAAGCCUAUGGAACUUGGUGUGUGGAGAGCAUAUUGGCAAUGAUUUACAAUUAACUUCCAUGUUGCAAAUCACUCCUUAGCUGUUUUCUGUUAUGAAAUUUGGAGAGUUGUAAAAUGCAUUUGUGCUACUUUAUUUCCUUUUGAAAUGGUAAUUACUACUGCUGAGGGGCAGUACUUAGUGCAGAAAAUGAAGUGUGCAGCGUAGGGAGGAACUUGUUUCUGAGGAAUUGCUGAGGAAUUGUAAUGAUAUGAAAAAAGAACUUUCCUGAAACACAUACACACAAAAGAGCUUCAUUUAUGAAACUCCAACCAAAUAAAUAACAAAAUAAAGUAAAACACAGUCUUUGUGUGCAAGGGACAGUAUUCACUUCUUUGUUGCUGACUGCACUUUUUUCCCAUCAAAGUGGGAACAGUGGAUUGACACAGGGAAAAACUCAUAAGCCAAUGGCUUGAGGGAAAUGCAGAUGUAUGGUAAUGUGAUAAGAAUGCCCUAGAGUAACAGGUUUGAGCCAAUGUGUUCGAAAAUUAUGAGUGUGCUUCUAACUACUAGCCCAUUUUAGAUACCUACGAUAGAACAGAAAAUGGUAUGGCCCUGGAGAGCUACAUGAAGUUUGACUUUUAUAUCAGAGGAGCAGAGGCUGUGCACUCUGAGUGGAGAGAGCAGGCCAGAAUAAGAAUUCUGCAAAUAAGGUUCUUUAUGUCCUUUGUGCUUUGGAAAGUAUGGCUUUUGAAAAAUAGAGAAGAAUCUGCAGGUUCAAGAGCACUAUUGCUGCAACAAGCCCAAGUCAGAAGUAGGCUCCUUGCAAAGGAAAAAGUGAAGAGGUGGUAAACAUUCUCUCUAAGAAUGAUUGUGUUACUAUGGAGAAAGAAGAAAACAGACACAAGACACAAAAAGGCUGAACUGGUUUUGGAUGAAACACUCUCGGUUCUGAUAGUUCAAGAGUUUCACAUGCUUUGGCUUUGAGCACCUGUUUCACAGGGUGAAGAAGGAGAUGUCUUCUUCAUGACUGGAUCCAUAGAACUGAUCUUCAAAAUCCUACUCCUUCCAUCCUUCUGCCCGUAUUUGAAUCACCUGAAACAUAUGGAUCUGAAGUCUCAAGACAGGGAGCUAUAGUGUAUUACAGGACAGAAAGUCACCUAUAUUACACCUUUGGCAACAGAAGCUGGUAAAGCACUGCAUUUGCCACACAAAUGUAUUUCACAGUGUUUUCCCGUUUUGUAAUCAAACUGCCGAGAAAAUAACAGCGAAAGCAGUAAGAAAUCACAAGAAACAGUGUCUUCAGACAAGAUGUGAAAGGAGAUGGUAUACUGAUGAAGAAAAAAUACAGAAAGGUUGUCUUACAUCCCAGGAGCUGCAGCAGUAACACUCAUUUCUGGAUGUCAGCUGGGAGGACGAACAACAAAAUCAGGUUACUUCUAAAAUGUUCGUAGUUUAUUUUUAGCUCACAUGUUGCAUGCACAUUGCCCCUUUCUCCAGUGCAGUGUGCAUAUGAAGUUCCCUGAGGUGUCCGAACUAGAUUCACUCUUUGGGACUACAUAGCUGGUUUACCUGAACUGCUGAACUGCCAGAUCCAGAGCUACACUGGAGCCCUAAUGCCCUGAGGCAGCUCUCAGGUGAGGGUGGAAUUCUACCUGUCUUCACAAGGCCUGUGUACAUCCUACAACACCAUCCUGUCCCUUAAUUGACCCAUGCUGGAAUGGAUUUUUUUAAAACCCCACUUUCUGAUUUCCACUGUAAGCAAGUGCCUACAAGCAGAGAACAUUCAUGAAAACUUUAAGAAAAAAGAUGAUCUUCUGGGACACUAAGGGAAGAGAGAAUAAUUGCAUUACAACAGGACAUUUUCUACAGGGACUGACUGAAAUGCAGCAUGCUCCUGAUCCUGCUCGCACUGAGAUUUUCUGUGACACCUUGCGGUUGUGCUGGGACUGAGGAUGCUGUGGGAAUGCCAGCUGGGUGGUGCAUGCAGAACUUGCUCCCUCUCUGAACCGGGCCUUUGCCACCAGGCUGCUCCACUCAUGCUUGGCUGCCUGCUCGAACCGUGCAUGGCAUCGUGCUGGUGCCGCAUCCCUGCCAGUUACGCCCUGCACUGAGCACAGCCCUACUGCAGCCAGCAGCAUCAGACCUAUGCACCUAACCUUCCUCCUCUCAGCCCAUUACAGAUUUUCAGUGUGUGAGAAGGCAUUAUCUGGCCCUGGGUCCUCAGCAGCUUGCUAUGAAGCAGCCAGUAGCAUUUGAUUUUUUGGAGGUGCCUGAUGUAACCACUGUGUUGAGGACAUUGAUAAAAGCGCAUGGGAUCGCUACUCUUGUUCUUUCCUAUGAGCUCAAGCACUGUGAAAACCCUUGUGAAAACAAGAUAUAGUAAGAGAGGUUGUAAAAAUCACAUACAUGAUUUUCCUGCUUUUAUCUUUACAUGGGCAUGUGUCAGUGUAAAAGAGCAGAUUAGACAGGCCGGCUUCCGUCUGGGCUGUAGACACACGUAUGCAUAAUUGAUUCCUGACAUCUUCUUCUCCCCCACGCUCUCCCCGCGAGGCCACCCCUGUCCAGCUAUGUAUGAAUGAACAGAAGUGUCUUUCAUCCCCCACUUGCCUCGUGGUUCAAAAGGAACUACGAAAAUAGCAGCAACAAAAAUCCAGCAGCCUGCCAAAAGGCCUGCACACGUCCCAUUCUUAAAGGCAUGUGAAAGGUUGGAGAGCUCAGCAAAAUUUUUAUGUACGGGAGCAGGCCCAAGGAAAACUCACACGCCAUAACCAAUUGUGGACAGAGGAUCAUCUAUCAGCAGACAAAUGCAGGAACUCCAGAAUGUCUCUCCUCAAAUGAAAUAAUAUAUCUUUGAAAGCCAAUGCCCGUUUUAGGCCUGAGGCCCAUAUAUCAAGCCUGAGAGGCUUGUGGAUACGCUCCAGGGCCAUUAACCUUCCACCUGUUUCCCCUUGUCCUUCAGGAUGAGACCCUGCCCUUGAUUUUACUCCCUUCCCCUGUUCAUCUUCCGACAGAGUGUAAAUGUAAAGCAGAGGGCCUGUGAAAUAAUUCAAAGGCAAUGGACCAGGGACAUGGUUACAAAUCUCUGCCACUGGCACUGUGACUUAUGCAGGCAGUUUGUCACACAUGAGCCAGGUGACCUCUGUGACAUAACAGAGAAAAAUAUCGCCCGAGAUCAAAAGAUGAGAUUCAGAGCGCUCUAACUAACUCUGGUGCAGGCAGCGGCGGCCCAGGCACGCCUGCCUUCCCAGCGCUGCCUGCCGGAGGGUGGGCCAUGCUCCUGCUAAUUGAACCCAUCGCAUUUGCUCUCCUCUCUACUCAAAUCUUCCCUACAACACAAACGUCAAAAUCUGUUUCCUCAUGAAGCUGCUCUUUUCCAAAACGAUAGCUAGAUGUAAAUUGACAGCAGACAGCAAAAUUCAUUCAGCAGAUCGAAAUGAACAUGUAGCAAUCAGUAACAUCAAAAAUGGUGAGUCCCCUUCGCAAAAGGGACUGUUUUAAGCUAGUAAGUUUUUAAAUGCUAAGUAGUAAUAAAACCUUGUAUGAGCACAUUCUCUCCCUGGUAUUGCAAUAAGAAGCCUUCGAAGUCUAAAACAUUUACUGGGAUUCAACUGUCAUGCCAGAUACAAUGUAAGUCGAGUUAGUAUUUAAAAUGAUGUAAUGCACCUAGAUAACACAACAUCUGUAUUGAUUCAUAUUUUACCAAGAGACAUACUACAGAACCAGAAUAGCAGUCAUUUGAAAUAAAGCCUAAUCAGAUUGAUUUUUUUUUUCAAUCUUGAAGUCAUUUUUCAAGCUGUGUACUGUAUAGGAAGUUUCCCAGCUGUUUUCUACAUUCAGGACUUCUCUGCUGGGUGCAGACAAAAGAAGAAGACCUAAUACAGUAUUUCUCUUUCAACUCCCCAAAACCUAAUGGUAUGUCUGGUAUGGACAUUUAAUUUUGUCUAUUUCAUAAAUUAAAAGAAAACCACACAACUGUCACAGUGUCCCAGGCAUGAUGAUGAAAUGAGAAAUACAACUGUAGCUAGAUCAGCCUAAAUCCCAUCUUAAUCCUAAAUCACUUUGUCACUUGCCAACACCUAGUUGAUGAAAAACUCAGUUUAAUCCAUGAAUAUAUAUAAAAAUACACAUAUGCAAGCGCAAACAAACAUUCAGCACAGUACUUACACGUGCUAUACACUACCCGAUCAGCUAAUUUCAUUGUCUUAGCACACGCUGACUUUGAAAAAUUUCAUAGAAUUCAAGUAAAAUCAUGUGAAGGGAUAGGGUUCCACUAUUAAAGCAUUUCACAAUUCACUAAAUCUAAAGGCAUGAAAAACUUGAACUAUGGCUGGGACUUGAGGCUAAAUCACUGCAGUAGUUAAAAAGAAACGUACUGCUGAAAAUGUCAUUGACAUAAGCCUGAUAUAGAGCAUUAAACUUCUCUGUUGCAAAACACUGCAACAGUAAACAUAGUAAAUGUAAAAUUAUUAUUAUAAAAGGAUUACUGUGAAGUGUUACCACAUGUUUUUUGUAAAAAUAAGGCAGUUGUUUGAUUUUACAGUGCUAAAAUCGUUUGAGUCCUGUAAUUACGCACAACUUUUCCUUUUUUUGUGUCUCUAAAGGAAGCCUGCCAGUGAUACAAGAGUCAGCAACUACAUGCAAGUUCUGCCACUCCUUUCAGUGAACUCCAAUUCAGAUCCCAGAUGUCUUCAUUUUUGAAAAUACCUGGAGCAUUACUUUUUGAUGUAAAAUAUAGGUGAUGUAUCCAAGGGUUCUGGCAGUCAGAUCUUUAGCUCUCAUUGAGACUCCUACUGAAUAUAUUCAUUUGUAUUGAGGCCUGAUUUCACUUAUGAAAUUUUCACUUAUGAAUUUUCACUUCUACAUCCUUUUUUUCUUAUAACAUAUAUUUGAUGUAUCCCUGAAAAAUUAAUAUUUAAUUUAAAGAGCACCUAGCCUAAUCCAUUGCCUUUAACAGUGAGUACGAUCUAGUGCAUCUACUUUUGUAAUAUUCAUGAAAUUUGGAAAUCAAGACUAGGCAUUAUAUUUUACUCUGAGAGGUUUUUUCUCAUUUAAUGUUUGAUCAGUUCUGAAUGCCCAAAUGGCCUACUAGAAUUUCCAGGGCAGAAAGAAACUACUUACAGAUGUUAUUAUAUUUAGAAAAAUAUAUUAAUGUAAUAAAUUAUAACCUUUAUAAAUAAACAUUCUCAGAUACACAUAAAAUGUGUUGUCCCAUUUACCUGCUGCCAUGUGCUUUUUAUGUAAUUAAAUACUGAGCAUCAAAUACUUUAGAAGGUUACAGCACCUUCAUUCUAAAGGAGAAAAGAUGGUUCUUGUUGAUAAUAUAAUAGUUCUGUGCCGAUGAAAAAGACUUAAAUUAAUUGGUUGAAAUACUACGCAGAUACUACAAAUCCAACUAAUUAUAUUUUUGAGUCCUUAUGCCUCCCUCAUUUAGUCAUUUAAAACAAAAGAAAACAAGAGCUAUUUAACAUUUAAAAAUAAUCAUAGUAAUUUGGGGCAUGAAUCAUUCCUUACAUUCUUUUCCAGCUACAAACAAUUUCUGUUGGGAAAAGUGCCAUAUAGUAUCGACAGUGACAACAAAUUGUAUUGUCCAGUGAACAUCUGUUUCCGACUCCCACACUGAUAUUGCAGGUUGGGUACUUCUGAGUUAGUCUUCACAGGCUGCCCGACCACAGAGGAACUGGAAAUUACUGGUACGUUCAACUUUUAUUAUUGGAACACAGGAAAACUUUAUCAUCAUGCUGGGAAGUUCUAUAUCUUUUGAAAUAUUGGAAGGAGGGUUAUGUUAGCACAGAAACCCACAUGGGAUAGUUCUUACGAAGAAGGAGAAAAGUGGCUCCUGUUCAUUGCAUCCCUCUGUAUAUGCAGAUAUGCAAGUCUGAGAUCAAAAUGUCAAAUGUUUGUUUUUAAUAAAACAAGCAGCAGGGCAAACAAAGUACCAGAUUCUGCCAGUCUUGCUCCAUAGGUAAUCUGUGUCCCUAUACAAAGUACCCUGAAAUCCAAAGCACAUGUUACUUCAGGCAGAGCAGGAUGAGGUUUAGUAUGGGUCGCACAAUGCAGCUCUAGGGACUGUUGGUCUUGAAGAAAGAAUUGAUCUUUUCUAAUUCACAUUUAUUCCAUCAAGGUACUAUGAUAGCAACUUAUAGAGAAAGACUGUGUUAGCUAGCUAAAGCUAUUACUGUUAAAAUAAAGCAAAACACAAAGACCUAAGCAUUUUUUUUUUUUUUUUUUCAAAAUUGAGGUGGCUUUGUUAGAAUGAGCAAUGCCAUGUUUUUCAUGGUUAUGUCAACAAUUGUUAUUCGGUUUGGAAGAAAGUUCAGCUUUGGCAGGGACAGAGAAGAAAUGAAGAUAUACUCCUGAUAGGUGGUAAGUGCCAGUUUGAUAAUGCUCUCACAUCUGAUCUGUAAGUACAUCAGCCAGUGCAGAAAAAAAGUGCUGAAAAGGAUUCUCUUUUCCAGAAAAAGAGGAAGAGAGAAACUCCACCAAAAUUUAUAUUAAUUAGAGUGGCUAGCAUGCAGGGGAAUCAAAGGCAAAACAUGUGGAACUCCCGCUGGUGAAGAGAAGACUGUGCCUUAAAGGAGAGGGAUGCAAACGAAAAAUAAAUGCUUUUCAAUGUCCUCAUAUGAGCUAGCCAUAUAAACACUCAUUUUGAGUUCUAACACUUCCUGAUGCAAAUGCUCUCACUGAAAAUUCAUUCUUAGUCUGAAGGGAGCUUUGUCCUUGACCAUACCUGCAGAAUAAGAACCUAUGUGUCUUAAGAACGGCAGGUCUCAACAAAGUAAAAUAAUUGCCACAUCCAUAUAUCUACUUAAUGUUAUUGUUGUUGUUAUUGUUGCAGUUGUUACUUACCCUUUGUUAUAAACAGUCCAAGUCCUGCAUCAGAAAAAUAGUUUUUUGAUGCUAUUCCUUAUAGCAGUUUUGGAUUUUUCAAAGAUUAGGAAGUCUGUGUAGAAUCUUAACAAUGUGGCCAAUAUGCAAACACUGUUGGGAAAUUCUAGGUCUCAGGCAGAAAACUGCCUGAUCUUGCUUUUCAUAAGUGUAAUAUCAGUACAUAUGUACCAAUCAAAACAAUACUGCAAUAGUAUUUGUUUGAGAGUCUUUCUGUCUCCUCCUUUUCUGUCCAUGCAUAGGCAGAAAGAACAUCAGGGAUUGUGGAGUGGUAACAAAAGAAACUGAAACUAUUUUAGACCAGGGUGACAUGGGCAUCAGCUACGACAUUAGUCUUGGCUUCCACUUGCACACUAGGCAAUUUGUACCACCACCUAAUUUAGUUUCAUGCCUCCCAGCAGCCUUUCUACUGCCUCCCUACCAUCUCCUGCAAUUCUCUCAAAUGUCAUGGUUGUUAUGCCCUAAAACUACACAGACAAGUGGGAGCAGAACUGGAGACUUUGGGCAAUUAUCUCUUGUUACUUUCCCUGGAUUAUUUCACUGCUACCUGAAGGACAGUUUGGAUUAGCUACUGUUGUGGCCUUUUUUGGGGUGAUUUUUAUUGAGCUAUGGGAGUAGCAAGACGGAUCAGAGACUGCAGGCCUUUCUGAACUAUCUACUCUGAACUCUCAUCUCAAAAAAAAUCACAGUUUCCUAAAAGUAUGCACAAGGAGUUCUAGGGAGUGUCACUGAAGCACACCAAGUGUUGGUGAAGAUCUCACCAUGGGUCAGUGCAGCCCAUGGCCACAAAUAACUGCAGUUACUGCUGCCAGCAUAGUGACUGUGAUACUAAUAUAAUUCCCAAGAAAGAGAAAGGAAAAGAAGAGCCAAUAAAUAAGAAAAAGAGGAUUUAGAAACAGCACGUAGCAAAUGAAACUUAAACACUUGACCCAGGCAGCUGUACAGAAGAAAACAGGAAACUUGCAGUUGCUGUAAGUGAAACUGGAAAUGCACUAUUCAAUAUCUUAACUUGCACUCCUUCUUUGGAAAAAUUUCUCAUCAUCUGCAGUAAAGUUUUCUUCCGAUAAGCAAUACAGGACCCAUACACACAACUUGACUUAUGCUGAAAAUCACUAUACGCAGGACUGACUUCUUAGCUCUGUUUAGGAGAGAGAGUGAUUGUAGGUGCACAGGGAAUUCUGGGCACCGUGUGGAGAGGAAUGUAGUUCCCAGCGCUCUGUUACUCACCUCUCCCCACAAUUUUAAGAUGGAUGAAAUGGAUUUGGGGCUGACUGGACAGCCCAGGCACUACCUCCCGUAAGGCACUACAACAACUUACUUCUAGAGUGGCAAGGGAUUAUGACUCAGCACCACCAGUCACUGACGUUGCUCACUGCUCAGGACAAACUGCAAGACUGCAGUAAGUAUUCCCCAAUAAAUACUGAAAGGUAUCCAGAUGAGACAAACAGAGGGUGCUGACUAUUACACCAGAAUAAAGACACAAUUCUUCGUCACAUCCAGUGUCACUUAGUCAGGAUGAUGUUUCCUGUAUUCAGCAAACAUGCCAGUAAAAGAAUUUCCUUGGCAUACAGACAACAUGGAAAUGUCCUUUUAAAAAUCAGUUAAUACGAACAGAACUCAUGAGCUAGCUGGAACCAUUUCCUAUGCUGUGGAAAGAACACUUGAAUAAGGUUAACCAAGACAUUUCACCCUCCCAACCUCCCCCCUCCCCAUCUAUUUCUGGAUGUCUUCUUUUGUUCACCCUUUGCUAAUUAUAGUGGCCUUGCUUAGGUUAUAUUUAUAGUCUUAAAAGAGUUGCCUGACUUUUAGAACACUUUAUUCAUGUAUAUUUCCUGUGUUUAUUGUUGCCUUAACUAAUUUUUUAAAUUAAAAUUACUUGAUCCAAGAUUUUAUUUAGCAACAAAUAUCAAAGUAACUUUUCUUUCAACAAAUGAAGAGCUGUAUUUAGAUAUAAAAAAGCAUUUUUCUAUUUCUGAAUUUCUGAAAACAGAUUUUAGUUUCUUUCCAUCUCUAAGUGAUGUGUAUGACAGACAAUUCCAGAAUUAGAUUAAAUGAAAUUUCUUUCUUUUUUUCAUGGCAAUAUGAUUAUUUUGUAUCUGAGUUUAUUUAUUUAUUUAUUUAUUUAUUUUGUCUGUAAUGGUUGCUUUAAUGACUGUGGUGUUUCCAAAGGACAAUACUGAAUAUUUAUCUGCCUGGACUGCCCUGGUGUUUAUCUAACCACCUGGAACUGAACAUCUACCAGCUACAGAAAUGGAAAAAAGACAUCGAGGGUGUUCAUAUGAAAUUAUAGCUUCAUCUUCCUACUGGAACCAUGCUUUAUCUCUCCAAGUUUUCCUCAACCCCCUCUUAAAUCUGCCCUUUUAUUUGCUGUAGUUGCUCCACAAACAUGUUUGUAGUAAUGGCAAUAGCUACAACUUUCAGUCCUUCAUUCAAAACAGCAAAUAAAAACCAUUUCAGAGAGGGAAAAAAAAAAAAAAAAAAAAAAAAAAAGGAACAUGGCACAGAGUCUCAGAGCAGAGAAAACAGCUGUAUAGAAGAGGCUGAGUUUUGACCCUUAAUUUCACAGUAUUUUUAGGUUUAUGCACCUGGCGUUAGGUGCUGAUGCCCAGCAGGUGGGGCAGGCUCCCCGGCCUGGUGCAAGAGGGCCCUCAGGCCCUAACGGCCCCACCUGGCCCCAAUCUGUGACACCAUUUAAGCUCCAGCCGAGGCCAUGUUCUCCUUUAGGCUGUCUUAUGGGGUUUUUCCCUUAAGUGCUCCUUCAGUUGCUUCCUUUUUUUGGCUCGUCCCUUGACCUUGCAGCCCUCUGAGGCCUGUGCUGGUUGGCACGUGGGGCAGCAGGCUCAUGCCCAGCGGCUGUGAGGGGCAGUGCCUGCUGCCUCCAUGUGUGGAGAGUGGUGUCCUGCCCUCAUCCAAGCUAAAGACCUGGAGGAGAGAGCCAGCAGUUUGAAGUAUGUGGUAUUCAUGUCCUCCAGAGCAAUCUGAAAUAGCUGCUUUUUCUACAUGAUCAGAAGGAGCUGACAGCAUGGAUGGACAGAAGAGGGCCAUAUUCAAGAAAGACCUAGUCUUAUUCUAUUCUGCUUUGAUCUGAUGACUGCUGGAGACCCUGUAGGACUUGCCACUGCUCUGCUCAACCAGCUCCUGUGCUGUGGGACUGUGCUCUGUUGAAUGUGGACUUCAUCCCACAAUCUUACACUGAAGAAAAAAUGAGCUACAAAGAAUAAUGAUCCAUGAAUUCUAGAGAGCGACACAGACUAGGUGCUUUGCCUGGACUUCUUUUCCUACAGGGCAUGUGCAAUCAUACAACUGCUGUGAGUCAGCUUGGUGUGUUGGAAGCUUAUACUUUGAGAUGUGCAUUGGUUACCAUGGCAUAGAGUGAGUGAAGGAGCACAAGCAUGAGGGAGCACAGGUCCCUUAACUGCAGAGGUUGAUCCCUUUGAACUGCCGAAACCCGAUGACUUGCAAUCAAUAGUCUGUAAAACAAUAAGGUCAGCAAUGUGAAGAUUCGGAUUUUCCUGCCUCUAAAAGCAGACUGCUGUGCUGGGCCAGUGAGUGUCUGUGGCUUAAAUCAGAAGAGCUGCAAGAACUAGCGAGCCUUCACAGAGUCCAAUUUCUGCCUGGCAGAAAUUAGCUUGCAUCAAUUUGAAGAAAACCUACUGUAAUGACAUCUUCCUGUUGAGAGCGACCAGAACAGAUCAUGGGAAGGAGCACAGCAAAUAAGGAAAAAAACAAACACCAAAACUGUUGGGAAAACAGACAAGUUGUGGUUCUUAUGCUGAAGUAAACUGCAAAAACAUUGAAAAAAAUAAAAGUUCUUCAGGAUUAAAAGAAAGAGUGGAGAUAAAAUAAAUGUGGAACAAGCUAAAUGUGGAUGCAGAUAUCAUCACAGCAGAUCCGAGAGGCUCCCACCUCUGAGUAUGCUCCCACGAAAGCCUUUUUGGUCUGUACCAAUGAGAGGAAAUGGGAAAGGCUGUGAGCCACGGGCAUCUCCCCCACUGCCUCUGCCAUGCUGGUUCCUGAGGAUUUAGGAGGAGGAGAAGGGCUCCAGAGGAGCUGAAUGGUGCAGCUGCCCACAGGAGUAAAUGGCAUGCAGCCUGGCUCUUCUGCAGCAGCCAUGGAAGAACCUUCUUGGGGUUACCCACUGUGAGAAUGUCUCCUUAAACACCUGUGUAAUUCCUCUCAAAACCAUCUUGAAAUGCGCUGGCUUCUUACCCUGGGAUCUGUCGUCCUGUUCGGUUCGGGGCACCUCAGGCCUCCAUCACCUGCCUGCAGCCCUGGGAGUCAGCAUUGCAACCUCAGUCUGCUGGCGUGGGAGAGAAAGACCAAGCUCCAGUAGUAAUGUGCAUUUGUCAUGGAAACUGAUUUGAAUUUAAUUCUAAACCCUGUUUUGCACCAGGAAAAUAGUCUUUGCUUGAACUUGUCCUGUUCUGCUUCCUGCCCAUCAUAAUCACAUCGUUUCUCCUGCAACCUGAGCCCUUCUCAGUUCUGGAAACUGGUUGAGAUUCACCCAAUACUGCUUCCCAACAGAAAGCGAUUUCCUGUCUCAAAUGACUAAACUGUUGCAUUUAGAAGAGAAGGAAUUUAAUUUCACUGUCAUCCUCUGAGCUAACAAGAUGAUUCAUUGGUUUGCAUACGUACUGAAGGCUGCCAGUGAGGAGCAUGCUUUGUGUCUCUGGAAACAAUCGCAACAUAAAUAAUUGGAAGGAAAGAUUGCAGACAGGAAGCCAGGACGUUUGCUCGGUUGUUUUUGGCACUCCUGAUUCUUCAGUGUGGGCUUCCCGGCCAGGUGGUAGGUGCGGGGCGGUGUCAGCAGUGUCACCGGCUGCUCCCGGCCCCAGGACCGGAGCCGAGGCCGGGCUGCGGCAGCCGCCGGCGGAGCGGAGCCCCCGGGGCAGCAGCGGGCGCGCUCGGCCCGCCCCGAGCCCAGCAGAGGGCGCUGCAACACCGCGCCUGCUGCCGCCAGCUGGGGAAUCUAGAUAACGUGGUUCAUUGAAGAUAACACCUGAAAGGUCUUCCAAAGAGCGCACGUCUGUGCAUGCAAAACAAAGCAGCUCAAAGCCCUCUUUCUGGCUCACAUCCCCAGAACAGACACAGAGGGGAAAAAAACCUGUCUACGACCUGACGUUUCCUUUGCUGCAUCUGUGUGUCGGUGUGUGGAUGGGCAUGAAUAGCAGGAGGGGACAGAGGAUGGCUUUCAAGCUUUACAACUUAGACAGGCUGCCUCCAACAGAAACAUUUAAUUCUCAUUCACAGUUUACUGUGAACAAAAACUUCAACACUUCUAAGAAAUUAUAAAAGAAAGUGAUGAGCACAUAAGAUUCUUGCUACAUCUGUUAUGGAGCAGAAAAAAACUACACAGAAUCCUAGAAGCCUGGGGAGAGGAACAGAGAAACUGGAGGAAAGAGCCGGAUCCCAGGGACAGGUACAUACAUCUCUGGGCAUCUUCAGCCUUGUUUGCAAGUCCGUCAUGGUUUUGUGUUCUGUUUGUCCCUCUGUUGCCUGAGCAUUGCCAUCACGAGGCUGAAUGUUAUGCACUCUGUGGUGAUUUAAUGUACUGAAAAACAAAGGAAUGGCAAAAAAAAAAUGAAUGUUUUUGUUCUAAAUGUUAGAAACGCUGAUGGACUCAGGGACGAAGAUGCUAUUGAAUACACAGAAGAGGCCCAAGAAAAACAGAGGUGAGGAGCUUGGGGAAACUGUGGCCUCCUGCCUUUUCAGGACCCAUGACAGUUCCCUGGUGGCCCCGGGGCUGAGCACCAGGACAUCACUGUGGCAGAGAGGAGACAGGCACCUUUCUCUCCAGCAUCAUGAAAUAAAUCUUCAUGAAAAUUAGAGCCACUUACAGCAAGACAAGAAGAAAUACUUACACAACUC